Molecule: small RNA, 644 nt
Filed under: Pan troglodytes (chimpanzee)
Lineage: Eukaryota; Metazoa; Chordata; Mammalia; Primates; Hominidae
Description: processed transcript
Source: RNAcentral
GCCACCCCUGAGACAGCAAGACCAAUGCUUCUUCUUCCUCAUCACCCUCAUCAGUGUAAAGACAAGGAUGAAGACUUUUAUGAUGAUCCACUUCCACUGAACACAUACUCCUGCUUAUGUGUCAGUCUGUCUCCUCCUCUUGUGUCCAAGGGAAGUCAUCGCUCCCGCUGGCUCAGAACCAUGGCUGUGCCAGCCGGCACCCAGGUGUGGAGACAAGAUCUACAACCCCUUGGAGCAGUGCUGUUACGAUGAUGCCAUCGUGUCCCUGAGCGAGACCCGCCAAUGUGGUCCCCACUGCACCUUCUGGCCCUGCUUUGAGCUCUGCUGUCCUGAGUCCUUUGGCCUCACAAACGAUUUUGUUGUGAAGCUGAAGGUUCAGGGUGUGAAUUCCCAGUGCCACUCAUCUCCCAUCUCCAGUAAAUGUGAAAGCAGAAGACGUUUUCCCUGAGAAGACAUAGAAAGAAAAUCAACUUUCAGUGAGGCAUCUCGGAAACACAGGCUAGGGUAAUAUGUGUAACAGUAAAGAAGCCUGAGGAAUUUACAAAAUGGUGCAGCUCCAAGCCAUUGUAUGGCCCAUGUGGGAGACUGAUGGGACAUGGAGAAUGACAGUAGUUUAUCAGGAAAUAAAGUGGGUUUUCCAAUGU